Molecule: ribosomal RNA, 745 nt
Filed under: uncultured bacterium
Lineage: Bacteria
Description: bacterial SSU rRNA
Rfam family: Bacterial small subunit ribosomal RNA
Source: RNAcentral
ACGCUGGCGGCAGGCCUAACACAUGCAAGUCGAGCGGUAGAGAGAAGCUUGCUUCUCUUGAGAGCGGCGGACGGGUGAGUAAUGCCUAGGAAUCUGCCUGGUAGUGGGGGAUAACGUUCGGAAACGGACGCUAAUACCGCAUACGUCCUACGGGAGAAAGCAGGGGACCUUCGGGCCUUGCGCUAUCAGAUGAGCCUAGGUCGGAUUAGCUAGUUGGUGGGGUAAUGGCUCACCAAGGCGACGAUCCGUAACUGGUCUGAGAGGAUGAUCAGUCACACUGGAACUGAGACACGGUCCAGACUCCUACGGGAGGCAGCAGUGGGGAAUAUUGGACAAUGGGCGAAAGCCUGAUCCAGCCAUGCCGCGUGUGUGAAGAAGGUCUUCGGAUUGUAAAGCACUUUAAGUUGGGAGGAAGGGUUGUAGAUUGAUACUCUGCAAUUUUGACGUUACCGACAGAAUAAGCACCGGCUAACUCUGUGCCAGCAGCCGCGGUAAUACAGAGGGUGCAAGCGUUAAUCGGAAUUACUGGGCGUAAAGCGCGCGUAGGUGGUUAGUUAAGUUGGAUGUGAAAUCCCCGGGCUCAACCUGGGAACUGCAUUCAAAACUGACUGACUAGAGUAUGGUAGAGGGUGGUGGAAUUUCCUGUGUAGCGGUGAAAUGCGUAGAUAUAGGAAGGAACACCAGUGGCGAAGGCGACCACCUGGACUGAUACUGACACUGAGGUGCGAAAGCGUGGGGAGCAAAC